UCGUCAUUUCCCCCUCGUCUCUCAUUAACCCUAACUCUAGCCGCCCUAAAAUCCCAUCCACUCACCACCAACCGCCACCCAUCGAAAAUCGCCUCACGGCGAGACUCCAAACCUAUUCAAAUUAACACCAGCCAACCACCAUCUCGUCCUCUUCCUAUAUCUCAUAACUAUUUCCUUCAAACAAACCCAGAAAUCCCCAAAUCUCAUAUCUAAAGUCGAAAUCCUAGUUUUGUUCGAUUUCGGUCCACUUGAACCCAAGACCUACAUCAAUUGAUUGCUCUUUUGAAAGUAAUCGAUUGAUGUUAGUCUCACUUCAUUUUACCCCACCUAAAUUUGUCCGAGUUUGUGACUAUCUAGUUCAAAUCAAGCUUGGGUAAUUUCUUUUUCCGCUUUUCUUUUGUUUUUCUCCUUUCCUCUUUCAUAAUCGUUCUCUUUUAUGCUUAGAUUGCAUGGCUUAGUCUAAUUACAGUGUUUGUUUUUUGUUGUUAUCCGUCUGUUUGUUUUAUUUAUGCUAAUUUGAAUCAUCUGCAUGUCUUCUCAUGAGUUUAAUUUGAAUGAACUAAUUUAGCUUUGAAUUCCAUUUUGAAUAUAGUUCAUGCUAAGUUUAGCUAGGUUUAGGAUUAGUAUAAGUUUUUAAAUGCUUUAUACUCUAGGUUUAAUUGCAAUGUCUCGUUUCUGAAUGUUAUUUGAUUUGGAUUCUGAUUUUUGUUUGCCUUGCUUCUGUUUGCCCUAAUUUGUAAAUCAUUAGAAAUUUGUAGGAGUUAAUUGAAUUAAAAAAAAACUAGGAGGGUCUUAGAAGUUUUAGAAAGAAAAUAUGUGGAAAUGGAAAACUUCUAGAAGGUAUAACUGUCCAGAAUUUGUUAAAAAAAGAUGCUGAAAAAUGGAUAGUUGUUCAUUAUUUCUGUUAAAAGACGCUAAUUUCCUAAAUUCACGGGGGAAGGGCUGACAAAUUCUAUGAUUUUAUUAUUCCUCACAAAGCACACACCUCACACUCUAUAUAAGGAGUAGUAUUCCCUCAUUAGAGAGGGUUUGCAUUCUCACGAAAAGAACAAAAAAAUAGAAAAAAGGAAAAUAUUUUCAGCCUCUAUCCUUACCAUUUUGGACUACUAAUUUUAAUUCAAAAAUACUGGGAUUUCUGAUUGGAGUGGGUAGUUGUUGUGAUUCUCUACUAUUUCUUAGUGGCUGCUGCUUCUUCUUCAUUAGCCAGAGCUUUGUUUUCUUCUGUUUUUGUUGUUUCAAGGUAUUGAUUUCCAUCCUUAUUGAUGUACUAUCUAUUUAAGUGUCAUAAAAUCAAAAGCUACCAUUAUGGUUUACUUGUAUGUGAUAAAUGAGUUUCAUUUCAUAUUAGUUACUGAUUGUAUUGCUAUAAAUCUAAUUAAUCUCUUGUUGUGUGAGUCUAAGUUAAAAUGAUCUAGUAUAAGUGUAGUGAAACAAACUUGGUUGGUAUAUUAAUUCUUGUAGUUUUCUUUUUAAAAGAUGAAUAUGUGAAGUGCUGACUUCAGGAGUGUUGUUUGAAGUUGUUUUUUUAGUUAAAAUUUUGUAGUGUCAGCGCUAAUUCUGAUACAGAUGCUAUAAUUUCUUUUAUUUUCUUUCCUACAUGUAUGAUGAAUAACAUUGUGUCUAUUUGAGGUUAUUGAGGGUUUUUGUUGCUAAUCAUGGGUUAUAGCUUGUGGAUCUGACUACUAGUUGGCCAAAUCAACAAGUUCUAAAGCCAAGAGUUGGGAUUCUGCUGUUAAAGUUGUGCUGAAAAUUGAUGGCUCCAUGUGAUGGACUAAAGCUUUGAUGGAUAGAUCAUAUCCAAAUUGGCAAUUGUUCACAAGGCUAGCAAUUUCAUGGAAAAGUUGUAAUAAGAAGAAAUUAGUAUUUUCUCUUUGAGGUUUUAAUUCUUGUAUAAUAAAUAAGUUGUGAUUCCCAAAUGUUAAAUAUGCAUGUCUUCAUAAUUAUUUUCGUUUGGUAUCUUCUUUAAAGUAUAUAGAUAUACUAUCUGGG
RNAcentral lists this long non-coding RNA (1989 nucleotides) under Nicotiana tabacum (common tobacco). RNAcentral describes it as "long non-coding RNA (NTAB_LNC010953)". The record is from RNAcentral. Lineage: Eukaryota; Viridiplantae; Streptophyta; Magnoliopsida; Solanales; Solanaceae.